GAGAAUCUCUUGAACCCGGGAGGCGGAGGCCGCAGUGAGCCGAGAGCCGAGAUCGCGCCACUGCACGCCAGCCUGGGCGACAGAUCGUCCUCGUUCCUUCGGUUUCAAGGUUUUUUUCUCACAUCGCUUCCUGGUUGUUCUCCAGUAGGACUAGGUUUCUCUUUAUACCUCGCAAGCGGGUCCACGAGAUCUUCAUUAGUGAGCGCGGUUACCUCGAGAUCAGCUUUAUCUUUUGGACCCAGGAGUCUUCCAGGAACGCUGGCAUAUCCAGGAGCUGCGAGUCCCGCUCCCGGCAGCCUUCGCAGCCUCCGGUCCCGCCCGAGCUCGCCCGGGCCUCGCGGCUCCCGCCCCGGAGGAGCGCCGCGGAGCAGGGCAAAAACUUGCGGACAGAAAGCCAGGCCAGACCCGACACAAAAGCCCCGGGGCUGAACGAUGCAGACACCCGCGGCCAAGCCGGAAGCCCGCACCAACCCCAGCCCCCACACUACAGGCCACUUAUUUUAUUUUAUUCUUUUUAAAAUGUGGGUUUCUGGUCUAUGCAAUUCACCUCGGUGUGACUCAGGAAGGACACUGGAAGUCCACUGAUCUGGCCAGGACAGAACCACGUGUGUGUUUAGGAAAAGUGGCCUUCUGUUCUCCAUCCCUAGGGGCUCACGGGAUACCCUUAGAACAGACUGGCCACAGGAAUUCCCAGUUAAGGCAGAAGGUUGACAUGAGAUCAGUGUUUCAGGAUUAAGUUCUCACGAAGGGCAGAAAACUGGGAAGCCCAUACUUUUCCACGUUAAUCAAUUGGUUCCAUAAACAUCAUUCCAUUUAUGUUUUUGUGUUUUUUAUUAAUAAUUCCUUUGAGCUUCACUGGGAGAGAUGAGUAUGACUGUGGAGCUCAGUUCUGUAAAGCAUGGGGUGGCUAAGAAAGGGAAGUAACUGGCCCCAGAAUCCCACAGUCACCCAGUGACCUUCAGCCCAAGAAUCUGAUGGCCACUGCUGCACUCCAAGGGAAAGGAGGCCAUCCGGAGAGAAGAGAAUUACAAGAAUAAGAGUGCAGAGAGUGUCCCACAGUCCUGAGAUUCGUACAGAAGCACAGGAGGAAGCAAGUGUCCAAGUAUCCAGAGUCCUGUGAAGUAGGGAUUUCAGUCCUCAAAGCUACCCUCUCCCAUCUGCCAAGUCUUCUGUGGACGUGCGUGGCUGUGUUUCCCUUCCCAUUCCCUUUGGGCAGUGUGCUAUAGGUUUCCAUGUGAGGGCCAGUACUCCUUGCCUCUCAUCUCCCUCUCCAUUUUGCCGCAAAUGCAAGGGACCCCAUACUCGCCCUUGCCCCACCUCUUGCCUCUCCUGGGGACAUUCUUCCUGCUCAGUAGUGGGCCUUGUGAGGACCUGCAGGACAGCCUGAGUGGGAGCUACCCCAAGGGCCCAAGGAGUUCCAGGAACCCCAUCUGCACUCACUCACCUCCCCAUCAAGCGCCCCUGCAUUCUUCCUGCACUGCACUCCAGGUGUUGACAGCUCCUGGGCAGGGUAGCAGGUUCCAGGGAGCCCAGGCUGAAUGGAGCUUGGGAGCUGAGGUCCUCUGCUGGGGAUUCACUGUUCCAAGAGGACAGGAUUCUGCCUUUAUGGGGGAAGGGCUGGAUAGGAACCAGGAGACCAGUUAUAGGCCCGUUGCUAUCAAUCCUGGGACCAGUUAAUUGAUCUGUGUUCAGUACAGGAUAGCAAAAAUGGACUUGACCUUUUCUCUGUGUAACUUUUUUCAGAAACCAUCACGUCCAGCCUUCCUUCCCUGGGCACAGAGGAGACCUGCCUCAGGCGAAGUUCUUCUGUGGAAUUAAAAAGUCUCUUGGGCUCAGCUCUCCCCAGGGGCCUUCAGAACUCACCAAGGAUAGAGCUGCAGACCUCUGGUGGUCAAAUAGGGACUAAAACCGAUUACACCUACAAGUCAAUUGCAAAUCAGUCUUUCUUUCUGUUGCACCUGUGCCCCUCACUUAGUCACCUGUCUUAGAUGGAAGCUUCGGGCCCCUCCUGGGCCCCAACCCUGCGGUCCCCAGGUUCCCGGUUUUUCACGUCUAAUCUCAAUUGGCCCCUUCCCCACACACCGUGUUUGACCACCCAGUUCACAGAACGCCCCGGGCUUCCUAGUGGGCCAGGUCCUCCUUAGAGAGGCAAGAAGGUGGAGAGGGAGCGUGGACGCCGAGCGCCUGCUGGGCAAACCCGAAUCUGGGGCCUGACCUAGCCGGUAGCCGGUGACGGGGCCGGUGGUGGCUUGGAGACUCCUCUCUGGUCCUCUGCUCUUGGCCCCAGCCCCACGCUCACAGCCACCUCCUGAAGCCGCCAGUGCUGCGUCCUCUUGGCCACGUAGGGGAAGAGCGGACUGGACGGAAGCAGCGGACUCUGGGCGCUGUCAAGGUCACUGUUGUGAAAAGCCGGGAGACCAGAUGUGGACACAGGGAGGCCUGGACCCGAGGCGCGGCUGGCCAGAGGCCUCGUGUCUGCCCCUCUUCACAGCUUCCAGGGAAGCUCCCCGCGUAUCCUCAAAGCAGAGAGCGGUUUCCAAACGGACCCCCACAGCGCCCGAUUGGGCCAUCCCGCCCCAGGCUGGAGGGUGGGUGCUCAUGGGGUCGCCAGUCACCAAGGGCCCCAUCUGAGCGCACCCGGUCCCUCCUCCAGGCUCGCCUGGGCCUCGAGGGCGGCGAACAGCUCGGCUUUGAAGAAGGCUCCGGCCGGCGCUGCCCAAGUCGGGCAGCCUUCCUGGCCCACCCGGGAGUUGAGUUUCAAGGCUUCCCGGAGAGGCCAGCCCAGAUUCGCAGCGGAGAGUUUCUCAGGCCACAAACCUCGGAGAGAAGCAGCCGUGGUUCCCUGUGCCCUGGGCCACCGCUGGGCGGGGCAGGAAGCCUCCCUGGCGUUUCCUCGCGGGCGCGACUACGAGCCGCGGAAACCAGUGGCCGCUCCACACUAUUUAAGCUGAGGUUCCUCUGCCAUGGCUGCGGUUUGCGGUUUCAGCUUAGUGUACCACUUAGUACUAAUAUUAUUACUUAGUGAACUUAGUGCACUUAGUGCUCUAAGUUUACCAAGUUUACCAUUUAUUGUACUUAGUGUACUUAGUGCUCUAAGUUUACCAAGUUUACCACUUAGUGUACCUAGUCUACUUAAUCAACACUUAGUGUAUUUAGUGUUUCAGCUUAGUGUAGAGAGGCUUCUUUCUUCCUUUUCUGGAGGAGUCAGUGGUUAGAGACGAUUUCCGUGGUUAGAGCGUACUUGGUCUUUAGAAGACGACUUUGGUGUCCAUUGCCAACCCCAUCAGAGAUCGCAGGCCUUUUCCCCUCAGUCCCAGCUCAUCAGCAAAGGUCUGGGUGGCUGUCUCCAGAGGAGACUGAACGAGGUUGUCAAAGCGGCUGGAUCAAAAGUGUUGCCAUGUCGGAUGGAGUGGUGUCCACGAUGAACCUGAGCAUGGAGAUUUCUCCCUCUGCGCUGAGGAUCUCACUGUGCACCUCCAGCCCUGGGUCCUGGUGGGCUCUGGUGGCCACUGGAGUCUUUGGAACUGCCUCCCUCUGGCUCUGCUGGGGUUGGAUUCGGGCAUCGAUGUCACACCCAGCAGGAACAACUGGGGCCACUGGAGGAUUCCCAAGGACACAGGUUGUCCUUUUCAUGCAGGAAGAAUCUGAAUCGUUUCCAUCCAGUUUCCCCGGCAUGCAGCAGAAUACAACACAAGGGGCUGCGGUCUUCUCUGACUCUUAAGGCCCUUGGAAGAUCCUGUUCUGCCAAAAUCAGGGUGAUUUGGGCAAGCAUCCUUAGGGCUCUGGACCUUAGUUUCUUUCCCUGGUUGAUUGAUUGACCAUAUAGGUGUCCUAACUCACAUAGUUGAAAAUCAGAUGUGGUGAAAGUGCAUUGAGACCAGAAACAAUGUUAUUGUCCUGAAAUGCAUGCCCAGAGAGCACUGAAUAAAUUUUUAAAAC
Non-coding RNA from Homo sapiens (human), 3939 nucleotides. NCBI's taxonomy places the organism in Eukaryota, Metazoa, Chordata, Mammalia, Primates, Hominidae. The record is from RefSeq and is a predicted model, not a curated record.